UUCCAACCGGUCAUAGCGGAGAAAAUUUUGAAGAUUCCAUUGGCGGAGACAGUACAAGAGGACUUUCAAGUAUGGAGAGGAGAACCGACAGGGGAGUUCUCCGUAAGGAGUGCUUAUAAACUAUUACAGGAAACUAACCUUGAUCCUAAUGGAUUAAUGGUACAUACCGAGGAAAAAAAUUUCUAUACUAAACUAUGGAAAUUACAUAUUCCUUCAAAAAUUCAAAUGACAGUAUGGAGGAUCUCUUGGAACUUUAUCCCAACUUUUAUCAACCUCAAAAUCAAAAGGGUUGUUAGGAAUUCCCAAUGUCCCAGAUGCGGAUGUGAUGAAGAGGAUAGCUGCCAUAUCUUCCAAAAAUGCCCUACAUCGAUAGAAGUUUGGAAUCAGUUGAAUCUUUCAUGGCUACUGAGUCAGAAUAAUGAUAAUAGAUGGGAUUGGCUUACAUGGGUCUUUG
RNAcentral lists this long non-coding RNA (454 nucleotides) under Gossypium raimondii (Peruvian cotton). RNAcentral describes it as "long non-coding RNA (GRAI_LNC004907)". Lineage: Eukaryota; Viridiplantae; Streptophyta; Magnoliopsida; Malvales; Malvaceae. The record is from RNAcentral.